GACGAACGCUGGCGGCGUGCUUAACACAUGCAAGUCGAACGGUAAGGCCCUUCGGGGUACACGAGUGGCGAACGGGUGAGUAACACGUGGGUGAUCUGCCCUGCACUUCGGGAUAAGCCUGGGAAACUGGGUCUAAUACCGGAUAGGACCACUGCCUGCAUGGGUGGUGGUGGAAAGCUUUUGCGGUGUGGGAUGGGCCCGCGGCCUAUCAGCUUGUUGGUGGGGUGAUGGCCUACCAAGGCGACGACGGGUAGCCGGCCUGAGAGGGGGACCGGCCACACUGGGACUGAGAUACGGCCCAGACUCCUACGGGAGGCAGCAGUGGGGAAUAUUGAACGAUGGGCGCAAGCCUGAUGCAGCGACGCCGCGUGAGGGAUGACGGCCUUCGGGUUGUAAACCUCUUUCAGCACCGACGAAGCGCAAGUGACGGUAGGUGCAGAAGAAGGACCGGCCAACUACGUGCCAGCAGCCGCCGCGG
This 478-nucleotide ribosomal RNA is filed under the name uncultured bacterium. RNAcentral's name for it is "partial 16S ribosomal RNA". It matches the Rfam family "Bacterial small subunit ribosomal RNA", at positions 28 to 523 of the family's 1533-position model. The record is from RNAcentral.